This is a long non-coding RNA of Lagenorhynchus albirostris (white-beaked dolphin), 941 nucleotides long. RefSeq lists it as uncharacterized. The record is from RefSeq and is a predicted model, not a curated record. NCBI's taxonomy places the organism in Eukaryota, Metazoa, Chordata, Mammalia, Artiodactyla, Delphinidae. The transcript is spliced from 2 exons.
GGGAUGGGGUCUGCGAAGAGGCCUUCAGCACGCCACGCCCGAGCCAGCAAGCCCCUUCCUGGCAGCUCGGCCGGCAGAAAGUCUGCUGUUGGUGCCCGCCUGAUGAAGGAUUUGGACCAGAAGGAUCCUGCCCUUCCUGUGGGAUAAAACGGACCUGUGAGGAUGCCGCCGGGGGCUGCUCCCUGCACUGUGGGGGGGCCGUGUUUGUCCACCCGCCUCCUGAAUUAGCUGUGCCCCCAAAGUCCUGCUGUCCCCACAGGCUCCAUUUCCAGAGAUCUCUCCGGGGCAGACCCUGCCUGUCCGUCCUGCUGCUGUCCUAUUAGAAAUGUUGGAUGGGCAAGGCAAAGACUUGGAAGGAAGAAGUGUAUUAUACUCCGGGUCCCAGAGAGGGCGCUAAGGUGUGCGCGGGGGCCACAGAGGAGCAUAGCCAGGGACCCCACAGAACAGGUGGGGAGCAGAGAGAGAAAGGACCUGUGGGCGGAGCCUUUCCCGGGGUCAAGGGUUAGGUUGUUCCAAAGCAAGCCAAGCAAGCAGGAAAAAGCAGGAAGCGAAGUCCCGGGCUGACCCGGUUAUCGAGCUCCAGCUGCUUUUGAGUGUGAGCUCAGAUCAGGACAGUGAGACAGGCGUUAAACGCUGGAGCAAGAACUCACGACGGAGGAUAUGUUUUUCCUUUCGGUUCUAUUGAGGCAUAAUUGGACAUUCGGCACUGGGAAGGUUUAAGGUGUGCCGCAUGACGAUGUGACGUACACACAUCAUGAAAUGAUGACCACAGCACAUCUAGUGACAUCCAUCAUCGCAUGUGGAUGAAAAACAGGAAUAGAAACACAUUUUUUCCUGUGAUGAGAACUCAGGAUUCACUCUCCUGACAAGUUUCAUAUAUAACCCGCAGCAGAGUUCAUUCUAUUUACCAUGUUGUACAUUACAUCCCUAGUACUUCUUUA